UGGGGGAUAUUGCACAAUGGGGGAAACCCUGAUGCAGCGACGCCGCGUGAGGGAAGAAGGUUUUCGGAUUGUAAACCUCUGUCUUCGGUGACGAAACAAGACGGUACCCGAGGAGGAAGCUCCGGCUAACUACGUGCCAGCAGCCGCGGUAAUACGUAGGGAGCGAGCGUUGUCCGGAUCUAUUGGGUUUAAAGGGUGCGUGGGCUGUUAUGUAAGUCAGCGGUGAAAUACCUAAGCUCAACUUAGGGGCUGCCGUUGAUACUGCAUAGCUGGAAUAUGGUUGCUGUUGGCGGAAUGUGUAGUGUAGCGGUGAAAUGCAUAGAUAUUACACAGAA
Molecule: ribosomal RNA, 335 nt
Filed under: uncultured bacterium
Lineage: Bacteria
Description: bacterial SSU rRNA
Rfam family: Bacterial small subunit ribosomal RNA
Source: RNAcentral